CCUACGGGUGGCAGCAGUGAGGAAUAUUGGUCAAUGGACGCAAGUCUGAACCAGCCAUGUCGCGUGCAGGAAGACGGCCCUAUGAGUUGUAAACUGCUUUUGUACGGGGGUAAAUCCCGAUACGUGUAUCGGGUUGAAAGUAUCGUACGAAUAAGGAUCGGCUAACUCCGUGCCAGCAGCCGCGGUAAUACGGAGGAUUCAAGCGGUAUCCGGAUUUAUUGGGUUUAAAGGGUGCGUAGGCGGAGGUGUAAGUCAGCGGUAAAAUUGCGGGGCUCAACCCCGUACUGCCGUUGAAACUGCAUCCCUUGAGUGCGCGAGAAGUAUGCGGAAUGCGUGGUGUAGCGGUGAAAUGCAUAGAUAUCACGCAGAACUCCGAUUGCGAAGGCAGCAUACCGGCGCGCAACUGACGCUCAUGCACGAAAGCGUGGGUAUCGAACAGGAUUAGAUACCCCAGUAGUC
This 459-nucleotide ribosomal RNA is filed under the name uncultured bacterium. RNAcentral's name for it is "partial 16S ribosomal RNA". It matches the Rfam family "Bacterial small subunit ribosomal RNA", at positions 338 to 795 of the family's 1533-position model. The record is from RNAcentral.